UGCUGCUUUACCUUCCAGCUCCUUGCUGACCCUUCCUGUUCAUUUCUGUUCCUUUGUGCUCCUUCUCCUUCUCCUACUUUACCUUUUGUGCUCCUUGCUGUCCCUUCCAGCUCCUUGCUGCCCCUUUCUGCUCCUUGAUGUCCCUUCCUGCUCAUUUCUGUUCCUUCUCCAUUUCUUACCUUACCUUUCUGCUCUUCAUGUAGGCUGUCUCCCCC
Molecule: long non-coding RNA, 215 nt
Filed under: Pelobates cultripes (western spadefoot toad)
Lineage: Eukaryota; Metazoa; Chordata; Amphibia; Anura; Pelobatidae
Source: RNAcentral